AUUGAACGCUGGCGGCAGGCCUAACACAUGCAAGUCGAGCGGAUGAAGGGAGCUUGCUCCUGGCUUCAGCGGAGGACGGGUGAGUAAUGCCUAGGAAUCUGCCUGGUAGUGGGGGAUAGCGUCCGGACACGGGCGCUAAUACCGCAUACGUCCUGAGGGAGAAAGUGGGGGAUCUUCGGACCUCCCGCUAUCAGAUGAGCCUAGGUCGGAUUAGCUAGUUGGUGGGGUAAAGGCUUACCAAGGCGACGAUCCGUAACUGGUCUGAGAGGAUGAUCAGGCACACUGGAACUGAGACACGGUCCAGACUCCUACGGGGGGCAGCAGUGGGGAAUAUUGGACAAUGGGCGAAAGCCUGAUCCAGCCAUGCCGCGUGUGUGAAGAAGGUCUUCGGAUUGUAAAGCACUUUAAGUUGGGAAGAAGAGCAGUAAGUUAAUACCUUGCUGUUUUGACGUUACCAACAGAAUAAGCACCGGCUAACUUCGUG
RNAcentral lists this ribosomal RNA (484 nucleotides) under uncultured bacterium. Its description in RNAcentral is "partial 16S ribosomal RNA". It matches the Rfam family "Bacterial small subunit ribosomal RNA", at positions 30 to 507 of the family's 1533-position model. The record is from RNAcentral.